RNAcentral lists this long non-coding RNA (720 nucleotides) under Marmota monax (woodchuck). The record is from RNAcentral. Lineage: Eukaryota; Metazoa; Chordata; Mammalia; Rodentia; Sciuridae.
GGUCGAUCCUCAGCACCACAUACAAACAAAGAUGUGUCCGCCGAAAAUUAAAAAAUAAUAUAUUAAAAUUCUCUCUCUCUCUCUCUCUCUCUCUUUAAAAAAUAAAAUAAAUAAAUAACUUAGAGAUCUGGAAAUUCAGUAGGAAAAAUAUGAUGGGCUCCAGUUAUUUUCUGUUAAGAUUAACAAUGUCUUUGGCAAUUCCUCUUUAAAUUAUGCUGGAGGAAAAAACUAUAUAUGGGUCAUAAAUGACUGUUCAGAAAGAAUGAUCCACCAGUGAUGAAAGAGACACUCUUCAGCAUUUGUUAUGAUAAUACUAUUCUUACAGAAAUGAUAACUUUUUGUUGAUUCAACCACUGGGUGCAUGUAAAUCCAUAUUUGUGUUAAUACAUUAGUUUUCUAUUGUUGCUGGGGAAAAAAAUCACAAAGUUAGUUACUUAAAACAAUUAAACUGUGUUAGAGUCUGUAAACAAGUCAGGAUGGUGCCUGGCAAAUGUUAGAGUCUGUAAACAAGUCUGGAUGGCGCCUGGCAAAAUGCCAGAGGGAGUGGUUUGUGAAGUAACACCAGCGAGCCAUUAAGUGUGGAGAUUCCUUAUUGGUUGACUGAUGUUAUCUAGUUUAUGCUAAUUAAGAUAAGCUGUGCAAAAUGUAUAAAUACCUCUGUUGUCCUACAAUAAAUGGCUUCCACUCCUGCUGUAUCAACGUACACAAGUUGUUCGUCAC